GACGAACGCUGGCGGCGUGCCUAAUACAUGCAAGUAGAACGCACAGUUUAUACCGUAGCUUGCUACACCAUAAACUGUGAGUUGCGAACGGGUGAGUAACGCGUAGGUAACCUGCCUGGUAGCGGGGGAUAACUAUUGGAAACGAUAGCUAAUACCGCAUAAUAUUGAUUAUUGCAUGAUAAUUGAUUGAAAGAUGCUAUUGCAUCACUACCAGAUGGACCUGCGUUGUAUUAGCUAGUAGGUGAGGUAACGGCUCACCUAGGCGACGAUACAUAGCCGACCUGGGAGGGUGAUCGGCCACACUGGGACUGAGACACGGCCCAGACUCCUACGGGAGGCAGCAGGAGGGAAGCUUCGGCAAUGGACGAAAGUCUGACCGAGCAACGCCGCGUGAGUGAAGAAGGGUGUCGGAUCGUAAAGCUCUGUUGUAAGAGAAGAACGGGUGUGAGAGUGGAAAGUUCACACUGUGACGGUAUCUUACCAGAAAGGGACGGCUAACUACGUG
Molecule: ribosomal RNA, 505 nt
Filed under: uncultured bacterium
Lineage: Bacteria
Description: partial 16S ribosomal RNA
Rfam family: Bacterial small subunit ribosomal RNA
Source: RNAcentral